GAAAUUCGAUAAGUAGUGUGAAUUGCAGAAUUCAGUGAAUCAUCGAAUCUUUGAACGCACAUUGCGCCCCUUGGUAUUCCAUGGGGCAUGCCUGUUCGAGCGUCAUUUGUACCCUCAAGCUCUGCUUGGUGUUGGGUGUUUGUCCCCGUCUCCGCGCGUGGACUCGCCCCAAAGUGAUUGGCAGCCGGCGUACUGGUCCCGGAGCGCAGCACAUGUCGCGCAAACGAGUGCCUUGGUACGGCGGCGUCCAUAAGCCCCUCUCUCACGCUCUUGACCUCGGAUCAGGUAGGGAUACCCGCUGAACUUAAGC
This 310-nucleotide unclassified non-coding RNA is filed under the name plant metagenome. RNAcentral describes it as "partial contains 5.8S ribosomal RNA, internal transcribed spacer 2, and large subunit ribosomal RNA". The stretch from base 1 to 105 matches the Rfam family "5.8S ribosomal RNA", at positions 50 to 154 of the family's 154-position model. The record is from RNAcentral.